UUUGGUAUUUUUGAAAUUAAAGUAAAUGCACAAAAUAAAAUGAACAAAAUGAGGUCAAACUUCAAAUUCAAUUCAAAUCAACUUGGAUAAGUCCAAAUGAAUUAUCAUAAGCCUAACAUGGUCAAACAAGGUUUGACAAAUUUUCUCAACAUUUAUCGAAAACAGAAACUAUUUUAAAACAAUUAAAAGUCAAGAAAAAUAACACAAAUGAACUAAAAUCUCAAAUAAAUCUCAAAUCAAUUAAGAAAUUGAUGAGAAUAUUUUUCAUAGACUUAUCAUGAUCCAUAUGUGUUAAGAAAAUAUUUUUCGAAUUUUUCGAUAUCAGAAAGUAAUUAAAAUGAAUUUAAAACUAUUAAAUACAAAACAAUUCACAAAAAAAAUUAAAUGGAAUCACAAAAAUAAUUAAAAAUCAGAUUAUGAAACUAGAUUUUUCAAGAAAAUUUUUAGUGUUGGUCUCAUAUUUUUGCGAUUCAAAAUAAAAUACUUAUGAAUUUUUGAAAUAAAAUGGAAUAAAAGAAAAUAAAACAGAAAUUAGAAAAAAGAGAAAAAUCAGGAAGCGUUUGAUCCAUUUCAUUAAAUGACGUGGACAUAAUCAAAGGCUUAGAGACGCGCUUCCAUGGUAGGCAUUAGUCAAGCACGUUGCAAAGUGUAUUAAAAUAAGUCAACUAAACAAAUGGCCAGGAUUAUAACGUGCACAUGAGAUCCAAUGGACACAAGGCAUCCACGUGGGGACGGUGGUCGAAACCACCGUCUUCUCCGGUGGACCAACUGAUUCCGGCCACCAGUUGCAGGUUUUCAAACCUCAACCAAAACGCACGAGCCUUAUACACAAAUGAAGCUGGGGUGAUGUACAUCACCCCUGUAACCUUGUGUUUCUCUCAAGAUCUCUAUUGAAUGAGAAAUCUGAGCUGAAUUUCGAGGUGUUCAAAUUGUAAAGCUUCAAAACACAAAAUCAAAGCCACCGUUGGCUUGCCUCUCACACGAGGACUUCAAAAAACCAAUUGAACACAAGAAAUUCACAUUAUAUGAUGAGAUUCAGAUCAAAAUAGUUGAGCAAUAAACCUUUGAGGAACAACUUUGAUCAACACGAUUCGUUCCAACUUUUGCUUGCAAUUUGAUCUUACGAUGUGAUAUGUGUGCAAGGCUAAGGAAUAAGUCUUGAAGAUCAACUGAUUUUGUACUUUAAGUUCGAACUUAACUCUUUUUAUUUUAAUCUUAAGGUUUGGUAAUGGGUGGGUUUCCAAUUCUGCAGAGCUUCAGCUAGCCUUAAGGUUGAGAUUUGAAUGAGGCAAGGCAUGUAUUUAUAAUUGGAGCUGCAAGCAAAGUGGUGAAGAACUCGUAUGCAUGAUCAUUGGGUCCUCCAUGCAUAGGCCUGUGCACGCGCAUGUGAGGCCUUAAAUCAAUCGGAAAUGCAAGCUGAGCGGAUACCAAGUUGAAUUGGAUGUGUAAUUUGCUUGUGUUUGCUUGUGCAUGAUGAUUCCAAGUGAAUUUCAUAUUUGGUCACAAAUGUUCCCCUCUUCGAAAGUCCCAUAUAGAAAAUCCAAAAAUAGGCAUGUGAGUAAUGGUUGGGAAGGUCUUGACAUAAGGAACAAAAGCUAUGUUGGACGAAAAUCCAUUUGGAGUUUGGAAAAUUAGGAAUUUUGAUCAUGAAGUUUGAGGUACAAAUCAUGCCUUUGAAAAAUUUGCCAAAAAUAGCCAAGUUCAAGCCCUUUUGUUCCAAUGAUGCAAGCCUCAAUGGAUAUACCUCCAACAUCGAAGUUGUAUAUCUUUUCAAGAUGAUAAAUUUAGACUCACAUUUUGCAUCAUUUGGAUUUUUGAUGAGAAAGUUAUGGGCACUUGAAGUUAGACUUUUUCAACAUUCAAUGGUUUUGGUCCAAAGUGACCUAUAAUGUUAUGUAUUAUCACAUGUGUUUCUUUUAAGAUUAUGAAAUUUUGUCCAACAUAACAUUUGAAGUAUACAUCUCAAGCUUUUCAAUGCAAUUGGUCUCGCCUCUAAAUCAUUAAAAAAAGGAAGUUAGGUCCUUGGGAAGUUGACCCAAAAUUAGGGUUUCAGUAAAAAUGACCUAAAAUGUUUUGAAAUGAAUGAUGACCUUCCAAGUUUCAAAUGAGUUUUUGAUGAACAUUAAAGUUGUUCAUAUGGUUCUUAAGAACAUGUGUGCUCUUGGGGUCAUAUUCAUUUGACAAACACAUCAAAAGGUAGGUCUCAGUGGAUUUCAGAUUAGUCAGAUGACUUGACUGGUCAACUUCUCAAGUCCAAACCUCAAAUCUUGAUGAAGGAAUGAUUGAGGAUACUCACAUAAGCUCAUAUAUGCAUAAAGUAGUGAAUGAAAGAAGUUCACUUUAUUAAAUUUGAUCAUAGGUUGAGGUUGCUUCAUGAACAAGGCGCAGUCAAUGCACAGUUGAAUUAGGGUUUCCUUGGGAAACAAUCCUCAAGCCCUUUGGGUUAUCUUGAUCAAAUUGGAAAAUUGAGACACAUGGGAGGCAUAUAUGAUGAUUAGAAUCUUUGAAAACAAUAUUAAUGUUUGCACAAAUAGAGUUUGGCUUGGGUUAGAAUGAGGAGAAGAAGAGAAGGGCUUGUCCUAAACAUGCAAAGAUAAGAGAAGAGAUAAAACCAUUGGAGUUCCUUUUCUUGAGAUCAUAAAGAUGAUUCAAGAUGCUCCUUUUGCUUACUUUAGCAAAUAACUCAAGCAAUCAAACAAAUAUUCAUUCAAGCUCCUAGAAUCUCCAUUUCGGUUUGUCUCUCUUAACUUGGUUAUUCAUGACAAUGGUUCUCCUUACUAUCUCAAGCUUGGAAAGUAAAAAGCAAUAUGAAUAAAUGAGGAAGAAAUUAAAUUGCAUUAAAGUAAAUUGUAAGAAUUAAAUGCUUGAUUUAAAGUUAGUAGUUAAUGGUUAGUGUUAGUGUGUCAUAAGACAAUUUAGCACUAUGUUAAGCAAUCAUAAGUGGACUAAUGUAGUAGCCACACCUAUCUGCGGCCGGCCAAUAAAACUAUAGGAAAAUAAACACAAGUUAGAGACCAUGACUAGUAAGCCAAGCUCCUAUAACUUGCCCUGCCAAAAGAAAAGAGGAAAGGCCUUGUAUGGACUUUAGGUUUUUUGCUUGACCAAGAAGCAACCUAUCUUGGACACAAAGCAAUUCACUUGAUCUUUGACCAAGUUGAAUUUGAUUUGGAUCAAAGAAGGUUAAGCCUCUCACAUGUCAAGACUAACCACAAAUCAUUAACUCAUUGGCCAAAAAUAAAAAAGAAGAAGAAGAUGAAGAUGAAAUGAAAUGGAUAAAGGAGAAUUCAAAUGACAUAAUCAAAACACAAUGAUCAAAUGUCAAUCAAAAUCAACAUUAACCAAUGGUAAACAGAAGUGAAAUGAAGAUUAGAAGUCAACAAGGUCAAACAUAUUUUUUUGGUAUUUUUGAAAUUAAAGUAAAUGCACAAAAUAAAAUGAACAAAAUGAGGUCAAACUUCAAAUUCAAUUCAAAUCAACUUGGAUAAUUCCAAAUGAAUUAUCAUAAGCCUAACAUGGUCAAACAAGGUUUAACAAAUUUUCUCAACAUUUUUCAAAAACAGAAACUAUUUUAAAACAAUUAAAAGUCAAGACAAAUAACACAAAUGAACUAAAAUCUCAAAUAAAUCUCAAAUCAAUUAAGAAAUUGAGGAGAAUAUUUUUCACAAACUUAUCAUGAUCCAUAUGUGUUAAGAAAAUAUUUUUGGAAUUUUUGGAUAUCAGAAAGUAAUUAAAAUGAAUUUAAAACUAUUAAAAACAAAAUAAUUCACAAAAAAUAUUAAAUGGAAUCACAAAAAUAAUUAAAAAUCAGAUUCUAAAACUAGGUUUUUCAAGAAUUUUUUUACUGUUGGUCUCAUAUUUUUGCGAUUCCAAAUAAAAUACUUAUGAAUUUUUGAAAUAAAAUGGAAUAAAAGAAAAUAAAACAGAAAUUAGAAAAAAGAGAAAAAUCAGGAAGCGUUUGAUCCAUUUCAUUAAAUGACGUGGACAUAAUCAAAGGCUCAGAGACGUGCUUCCAUGGUAGGCAUUAGUCAAGCACGUUGCAAAGUGUAUUAAAAUAAGUCAACUAAACAAAUGGCCAGGAUUAUAACGUGCACAUGAGAUCCAAUGGACACAAGGCAUCCACGUGGGGACGGUGGUGGAAACCACCGUCUUCUCCGGUGGACCAACUGAUUCCGGCCACCAGUUGCAGGUUUUCAAACCUCAACCAAAACGCACGAGCCUUAUACCCAAAUGAAGCUGGGGUGAUGUACAUCACCCCUGUAACCUUGGAUUUCUCUCAAGAUCUCUAUUGAAUGAGAAAUCUGAGCUUGAAUUUCGAGGUGUUCAAACUGUAAAGCUUCAAAACACAAAAUCAAAGCCACCGUUGGCUUGCCUCUCACACGAGGACUUCAAAAAACCAAUUGAACACAAGAAAUUCACAUUAUAUGAUGAGAUUCAGAUCAAAAUAGUUGAGCAAUAAACCUUUGAGGAACAACUUUGAUCAACACGAUUCCUUCCAACUUUUGCUUGCAAUUUGAUCUUACGAUGUGAUAUGUGUGCAAGGCUAAGGAAUAAGUCUUGAAGAUCAACUGAUUUUGUUGAAAUUCAAGCUUGAAUUGAGAAAAAUAAAAUUAGAAUUCCUUUGGUAAUGGGUGGGUUUCCAAUUCUGCAGAGCUUCAGCUAGCCUUAAGGUUGAGAUUUGAAUGAGGCAAGGCAUGUAUUUAUAGCUGGAGCUGCAAGCAAAGUGGUGAAGAACUCGUGUGCAUGAUCAUUGGGUCCUCCAUGCAUGGGCCUGUACACGCGCAUGUGAGGCCUUAAAUCAAUCGGAAAUGCAAGCUGAGCUGAUACCAAGUUGAAUUGGAUGUGUAAUUUGCCUUGUGUUUGCUUGUGCAUGAUGAUUCCAAGUGAAUUUCAUAUUUGGUCACAAAUGAUCCCCUCUUCGAAAGUCCCAUAUAGAAAAUCCAAAAAUAGGCAUGUGAGUAAUGGUUGGGAAGGUCUUGACAUAAGGAACAAAAUCUAUGUUGGACUAAAAUCCAUUUGGAGUUUGGAAAAUUGGGAAUUUUGAUCAUGAAGUUUGAGGUACAAAUCAUGCCUUUGAAAAAUUUGCCAAAAAUGGCCAACUUCAAGCCCUUCUGUUCAAAUGAUGCAAGCCUCAAAUGGAAAUACCUCCAACAUCGAAGUUGUAUAUCUUUUCAAGAUGAUAAAUUUAGACUCACAUUUUGCAUCAUUUGGAUAUUUGAUGAGAAAGUUAUGGGCACUUGAAGUUAGACUUUUUCAACAUUCAAUGGUUUUGGUCCAAAGUGACCUAUAAUGUUAUGUAUUAUCACAUGUGUUUCUUUUAGGAUUAUGAAAUUUUGUCCAACAUAACAUUUGAAGUAUACACCUCAAGCUUUUCAAUGCAAUUGGUCUCGCCUCUAAAUCAUUAAAAAAAGGAAGUUAGGUCCUUGGGAAGUUGACCCAAAAUUAGGGUUUCAGUCAAAAUGACCUAAAAUGUUUUGAAAUGAAUGAUGACCUUCCAAGUUUCAAAUGAAUUUUUUAUUAACAUUAAAGUUGUUCAUAUGGUUCUUAAGAACAUGUGUGCUCUUGGGGUCAUAUUCAUUUGACAAACACAUCAAAAGGUAGGUCUCAGUGGAUUUCAGAUUAGUCAGAUGACUUGACUGGUCAACUUCUCAAGUCUAAACCUCAAAUCUUGAUGAAUGAAUGAUUGAGGAUACUCACAUAAGCUCAUAUAUGCAUAAAGUAGUGAAUGAAAGAACUUAACUUGAUUAAAUUUGAUCAUAGGUUGAGGUUGCUUCAUGAACAAGGCGCAGUCAAUGCACAGUUGAAUUAGGGUUUCCUUUCGAAACAAUCCUCAAGCCCUUUGGGUUAUCUUGAUCAAAUUGGAAAAUUGAGACACUUGGGAGGCAUAUAUGAUGAUUAGAAUCUUUGAAAACAAUAUUAUGUUUGCACAAAUAGAGUUUGGCUUGGGUUAGAGUGAGGAGAAGAAGAGAAGGGCUUGUCCUAAACAUGCAAAGAUAAGAGAAGAGAUAAAACCAUUGGAGUUCCUUUUCUUGAGAUCAUAAAGAUGAUUCAAGAUGCUCCUUUCCUUACUUUAGCAAAUAACUCAAGCAAUCAAACAAAUAUUCAUUCAAGCUCCUAGAAUCUCCAUUUCGGUUUGUCUCUCUUAACUUGGUUAUUCAUGACAAUGGUUCUCCUUACUAUCUCAAGCUGGAAAUACCUAUCACUCAAGAACAAACAAUAAAAGUUCACAAUGCAAUAAGAGGAAUGGACAAGAAUGAGUUUAGAUUAGGGGUCCUUUGAAGUCAACUUUAAGAUUUAGCAUUCUAAAGGCAUUGAGGCUAGUUGCUCUUCAAACAAGUUUAGCAUUCUAAAGGCAUGAGGACCUAGUUGCUCUUGAACUCCGUUAAGCAUAGGUAAGGUCCUAAUUCUAAGUCUUUCUCCUUUUUGCAUUGGGUUCUCACCAACAAAGACAAAACAAACACAAAGCAACAAUAUAUUUAUUUACAAUAAUAAGCUCAAGUGAGCAAAAGGCAAAUAGCAUAAACAUAAAAUAUGAGCUCAAGUGAGCAAAGUAAAAGCAUAUGAAUAAAUGAGGAAGAAAUUAAAUUGCAUUAAAGUAAAUUGUAAGAAUUAAAAUGCUUGAUUUAAAGUUAGUAGUUAAUGGUUAGUGUUAGUGUGUCAUAAGACAAUUUAGCGCUAUGUUAAGCAAUCAUAAGUGGACUAUGUAGUAGCCACACCUAUCUGAGGCCGCCCAAUAACUAAAGGAAAAUAAACACAAAGUUAGAGACCAUGACUAGUAAGCCAAGCUCCUACAACUUGCCCUGCCAAAAGAAAAGAGGAAAGGCCUUGUAUGGACUUUAUGUUUUUUCUUCACCAAGAAGCAACCUAUCUUGGACACAAAGCAAUUCACUUGAUCUUUGACCAAGUUGAAUUUGAUUUGGAUCAAAGAAGGUUAAGCCUCUCAUGUCAAGACUAACCACAAAUCAUUACUCAUUGGCCAAAUAAAAAAGAAGAUGAAGAUGAGAAUGAAAUGAAUGGAUAAAGGAGAAUUCAAAUGACAUAAUCAAACACAAUGAUCAAAUGUCAAUUCAAAAUCAAACAUUAACAAUGGUAAACAGAAGUGAAAUGAAGAUUAGAAGUCAACAGGUCAAACAUAUUUUUUUUGUAUUUUUUGAAAUUAAAGUAAAUGCACAAAUAAAAUGAACAAAAUGAGGUCAAACUUCAAUUCAAUUCAAAUCAACUUGGAUAAGUCCAAAUGAAUUAUCAUUAAGCCUAACAUGGUCAAACAAGGUUUGACAAAUUUUCUCAACAUUUUUCGAAAACAGAAACUAUUUUAAAACCAUUAAAAGUCAAGACAAAUAACACAAA
Molecule: long non-coding RNA, 7344 nt
Filed under: Lathyrus oleraceus (garden pea)
Lineage: Eukaryota; Viridiplantae; Streptophyta; Magnoliopsida; Fabales; Fabaceae
Description: Pisum sativum (pea) long non-coding RNA (PSAT_LNC020858)
Source: RNAcentral